Fusarium graminearum is the source of this 279-nucleotide small nucleolar RNA. It matches the Rfam family "Fungal small nucleolar RNA U3". Rfam says of the family: Small nucleolar RNAs (snoRNAs) are involved in the processing and modification of rRNA in the nucleolus. There are two main classes of snoRNAs: the box C/D class, and the box H/ACA class. NCBI's taxonomy places the organism in Eukaryota, Fungi, Ascomycota, Sordariomycetes, Hypocreales, Nectriaceae. The record is from Rfam.
GUCGACAAUACUUCAGAGAAUCAUUUCUAUAGUAUUCGACCUUCUCUUGGUUCCCUAAAAGAGCCACAGAUCCCACCCUGGUUGAUGAGUGUAUAUCCUCGACACCCUAGAGUGAAUACCUUUUGGUCCUCUCGAUCUGUCCGCAAGGAUGGCGGUGGUUUGCCCUUGGGCGGCUGCUGUAUAGAGAGUUUGUCUUUUCCUCUUGAUGAUCUCGACCCUGAUUGCGGUCUUGCCUUCGGGCGCGCGGUCGGGGUGGGUGUUGAUGGACGUCUGACAGGC